This 282-nucleotide ribosomal RNA is filed under the name Clostridioides difficile. RNAcentral's name for it is "partial 23S ribosomal RNA". It matches the Rfam family "Bacterial large subunit ribosomal RNA", at positions 2641 to 2925 of the family's 2925-position model. Lineage: Bacteria; Bacillati; Bacillota; Clostridia; Peptostreptococcales; Peptostreptococcaceae. The record is from RNAcentral.
UCCGUCGCAGGCGUAGGAAAUUUGAGAAGACCUGUCCUUAGUACGAGAGGACCGGGAUGGACGUACCUCUGGUGUACCAGUUGUUCUGCCAAGGGCAUGGCUGGGUAGCUAUGUACGGAAUGGAUAAGCGCUGAAAGCAUCUAAGCGCGAAGCCAACUUCAAGAUAAGAUUUCCCACCGCAAGGGUAAGACCCCAGAAAGACUAUCUGGUUGAUAGGUCGAAGGUGUAAGUGCAGCAAUGUAUUUAGCUUAUCGAUACUAAUAGGUCGAGGACUUGACCAAU